RNAcentral lists this ribosomal RNA (300 nucleotides) under uncultured bacterium. RNAcentral describes it as "bacterial SSU rRNA". It matches the Rfam family "Bacterial small subunit ribosomal RNA", at positions 496 to 795 of the family's 1533-position model. The record is from RNAcentral.
UUUGACCAUGUGCCGGCGGCCGGGGUAAGACGUAGGGUGGAAUCGGUUGGCGGGUUGACUUGGCGUAAAGCGUGCGCAGGCGGGUGCUGAAGUCGGACGUGAAAGGUCCGGGCGCGACUGGGAGAGGUCGUUCGAAACGGGGCGGCGGGAGGGUGGAAGAGGAGAGCGGAAUUCCCGGUGUAGGGGGUGAAUGCGUAGAUAUCGGGGGGAACACCAGUGGCGAAAGCGGCUCUCUGGUCCACACCUGACGCUCAGGUGCGAAAGCGUGGGUAGCGAACGGGAUUAGAUACCCCGGUAGUC